UCCAUCUGUCAUUUUUCUUAAUUUCUAAAAUCUCAUGAAAACUGGAGUUUCUAAUAUUCCUCACUAAAGUUAUAUUUUAUAUUUCACUAUUAGAUGUAUGCUAACCUCCUGAACUCUUUUACUGUAGCAGAAUAUGAAAAAAAACCUCAUUCCUCACAAUCACAGAAUUCCUCAAAUCAAAUCUGUGUUUCUCUGUGAAUAUGAAAUGUGUACACAAUUCCAGGAUGACACCAAAUAGUAUGAUCUAUAUGAACUGUCUUUAAUGGAAGAAGCACCAUACAAAUCCAAAGUGCUUUUAUUCACAGUAAAGUAAGGAUAUACAAGAAAGGAGGGAUUAAAUAUAGGAUUUUAACUUCUGGCAGUGCAUCAAAAUCCUGGAGGAGCUUUUAAAAAAUACUAAUGCCUGAGCUCCACCUUGAAAGAUUGCUUUAAUUGGUUUGGCUUUUUCUUCUUAAGCAGAGCUCCUCAGGUGAUUCAGAUGUGCAGCCUGGGCCAGAACCAUGGGAUUAAAUAGUCUUUCAGGACUCCAUUAGAGGACACACUGGUUAAAAAUUAAACAUAAAAGAAAUUGCAUCUAUGUAAUCAGAGUGAAGACCUCAUGCCGUCUCAAGAUUAUGUCCUUACAUACAACUAUGAAGGAAGAGGGUCCCCAGCAGGGUCUGUAGGUUGCUGCAGUGAAAAGCAGGAAGAAGAUGGCCUGGACUUUUUAAAUAAUUUGGAAGCCAAAUUUACUGCAUUAGCAGAAACAUGCUCAAAGAGAUAAUGUUAAAGUGCUACAAUUAAACGGGUCUUUGAGAGACAUCAUUCUGGAGGUUUCCAAAAGGAAUAUUGCAAAAUUCAAUUUCAGUUUCAUAUAUGUGUAUAUGUAUGUGAAUUUUUCUAAAAUUUGAAUUACGCUGUUAACCAAUUUGUAUUUUUAUAACAACUUGUGCUUCUAUUUGCUUAGAAGUUUAAAAUGUUAAGGCAUAUUUUGCCUUCUUUACCCUUGAACAGACGACUAGCAAUCUCAUGCUAUGGCAUUGGGAUUUAGGUCUAUAAAGGGUUUGCUCUUCUUUACAGAUACUUGCCCGAUAAAUAGGUAAACAUUAGUCCAAUGCUAGCUAAGCUAUAUUAGAUCAAAUAUAGUAGAACAGCUGUAUGGGCUAAAAAUUCUGUUCUUGUUCUACAUUUAGAUUUAAGUGGAAUGGAAUUCUAUAAAAUAUUAUGGUAAAUUAUGUUGUAUUUUUUAUCUCUAAGAUAUUGGUAGCACCUAGUUAGUAGCUUCCCAGACUACUAGAAUUUCAUUUUCCUUCUGGUUAUGACUAGAUUGUGAAGAGCAGUCCUAUGUAUGCAGUUGCCCUGAUAAGGUCUUAAAAAUGCAUAACCACAGAGUCAGGCUAUACCGGGAAAGUACACACCAAAAACUGUGUUGUUUUAAUGCUUUUGAGUGUGUGUUUUAGUUUACAGAAGGAUUGCUAGGGGGAACAUAUCUCAGUUUCCUUUUUCUCAAGAAAGAACUAUAUUCACCACAGAGUUAUUGUUAGUAUUUUAAUGAAAAAUAUCAAAGAUCUUCUAUUGAGAUUGAAAUCAAGUUUUAAUAUUUUUUUCCCCUGAGAUUCAGGACUAGUAUUGAUAAUAUGCCAGUCAUGAAAAUUAUACUGAGAAAAAUUUUUCUUCUCUUUGAAUAGUGCUUUCAUAUUUCUAUUUGCAAGUUUAGCACAUAUGACUCUUUAUUUUCUGUCAAUUGUAGUCACUUGCAGUUAGAAUAUGUUACCCUUAGAUAAGAUGUGCUUUCUGAAGAAGCAGACUUCUGUACCAGUAGCAAUGAGAGAUGAGCAUGUAUUUCUAAUAAAAUACAUUAUUCCUUAUUAAGGCAGAUCAAUAUUACAAAUGCUGUAAGAAUCAAAAAACAUAGGAACACUUAAGCCCUAGGUGCAAUUUAAUUUCUUCCAAAACAUUGCUUAAAUGUACUGAUUUCCUAAUUUGUUCAUGUGAUAGAGCUCCCAGAAGGACUUGCAAAAUACCCUGAAGCAGUGAUGUUUAAACUUAACAUAAUACCGAAUCUUGUGAUAAAUUUACUAUCACGUUAUUGUAUACUCACUUCAAAUGAUAGUUUCAAAACAGACAAGAAAUAGCAGGUAUGACCAGCUGAAGUAACUUUUGGGAGAGAAACAAUUAAGACUAAAUUAACUUUAAAAAUUUGCAGCUAUGAAGUGACCUGCUGCCUGACCCCUUGCCCCAAACAAGGAAUUCUUUAUUUACCCUUGGAGGCAAAAUGUGUUGAGUGAGCCCAUGAAAUUGCAGUGUUCUUUAUGUAUAUAGGUUGAAUUGACCACAUGCAUGCACACACACACACACCCCUCACUUCUUGAAAGUUUGUGUUACACCACUUUGCUUUUCUGAAACACCUAAAUUAGUACCUGCUUUCACUAACUGAAAGAAAUUCAAAGAGGAUUUUCACUCUUUUGAAAAAAAGUGAAAAGCCAAGCUUGGGUUCAGCGUUGCUUUGUGAGGCUGCUGUGGAGGCUACAGCACAGGUGGUGAGAAGGGCAGGCCAGGACCCCUGCCCAGGACCACCUGCAGCCCCUCAGCAGGCAGCCACCAAGCUCCCAACUGGGAGCAUCUGUCUUUCCUGUCAUGUUUUAUGCAUUUGUUAGCAGCAUGUGUUCUAAGGUAUCAAAAAGCUAGAAGAGUUGAUUUUUUGGGUCUGGGAAUGCUCAGAUUUUCAAUAUGAAUUAAAGGUAAUUGCUUCUUUAUUUUAUGCCAUUUUGGCUUAUGAAAGUUUCAUAGGAACAUGCUUUCAGGUAACUGGGGAAACCUGUAUAUAUAUACACACACAGGUACACAUACCCAUACAACAGGUACUUACACACACACACACACACACACACACACACAUACACACAUACACACACACACAUAACUAGAAAGAUUUAAAACAAAAUGAAAACCAAAGGGGAAGAUAAGAAUUUAAACGAGGCUGGGUUUGUCCCACUAGGAAUCCAGGGUUAGAAAAGAGCCUGUCUCGCUUAGUUGUGAUGUGCUGGUGGUCACUGAGCACUGCCAGGAACUGGUUCAUGUACAUGUGUGUGAUGUGUCUCAAGCUGCAUACAGCAGAUGGUUUCAGUGGGGAGGGAGCCGAGUGGGACAGCAGGUCUCUGCAUCGGUAAGCGAGGCGCAAACUGGUGCACCGCUGUGUGGCUAGGGCUCCCUGACUUGGGCUAGCAAGGUUCCAGAUAAACUAAUUAGUUUUCUUAGAACUAAUACUAAUAACCUUUUUAAACCUAGUUACGAUAAACAUAAAUCUUCUAUCACCAUUUUCUUUCUCUCUGCUAACAACUGACAUUUUGAGAAUUUAGAGCCAAAUAACCAUAUCCUCUAGGUCAGAUUUUCGAGGGUUAAGGGAGUUGGGAUGCAGAUUUUACUGAAAGGACUGAGGUGGGCAUGACUGUCUCUGAUAGGAGCCCACAGACCCCUCCCCACUCUGUGUUCUGGUCAGAGCCUGGGAACUGUGAAGUGUCAGUUCCCUCUUCACUGCCUUGUUUUAAAGUGACAUCUAUGUCAAUCGAGGAAAUCCAGCCCUCCCGUCUGGCCCAUUUCUCUCUCCCAGUGUUAGUAAUACUUAGGAGCAAAUAGUCCAGGCUGUCAGUCACCCUUCAGUAUGAAUCAAUUUUUUUGAGAUUACUUUCUUAUGAGGAUUUUUUAAAUAGGUGAAGAAAUAGGAAUGUGGUUAAGAAAUAGGAAAUAGGAAAGAAAAAAGAUUUAGUGGUCAUUUCGGGACAGAGGGACUUUGGGGAGAUCACAAGCCUAGGGGGGUAUUUGGACUUUAUUUUAUGCAAAUGUAAAAUUUGGGAGAGCAACAUGAAAACUCAGGUCUCCACUGGUAAGGGUAGAGGCCUCAGAAGUGUGUGGGCGGUAAGAAAGGCAGUGGAGGUCGCUCCCUAGAUUUUCCCAGGCCAGACCCUGCCUUGUCUUUUCCCAGACCAGUGGCAGCUGCCAUUGAUUUGAGUGAAACAUCGCCAGCCCUCUCUGCCUCACCUUAUUUGGAGUGUGGAGUCAAGGAGGAGAGAGCUGAUGGCAGGAUGAGUCUAAAGGCAUUUGCAGGAUGGGCCUCAACUGGUUGUGCAAAACAAACAGUGCGUUCUUAGGGAAUGCGUUAGUCCUUAUGCAGCCCGCUGGCACUAAGCCUUCAAUUAAAUGUGUGUCUAAGACUUUUUAUCGAAUGCUACAUUUUCUGUUUCCUAAUUUGCCCCUGAAAUCUAAAGUUUUAGACCUAGACUUCUGGAAAGGGCAUUUUCCUUUUAAAGAUAUUUUUUUUUUAUUUUUAGUGUAAGCAUUUUUAACAUGUAGUAUUCUUCUUACAUGUGUAGGGUAAAAUUAUGCUAUUUUAGUGUUGAAAGGAAAUGUCUUUUUAAAAAAUUUCAUUUUUUUUCCCCAGAGGAUGUUCUUGAAUUUUUAAUGCAAGUGUACGGAUUAUUUUUUCACACUUUUAGAUGGAAGCAGUUAAGCAUCUACAAGGCAGUGAGGUUUGUUUUUCAAUGUUUUAAACAGAGCUUUAGUUUUGCUGUUAAAUUACUGUGCUUUUAAAGAAACAUGGCGGGUUAAAAAAAGCAAAAAUCGGUGUGUAAAAUCUUAUUUGCAUAUCUAGAAUGUUAUUAAACAAUGUUAACUCGAUUGCUUGUCUUUGCUGUAUUUAGAGAUUAAAUGAUUUCAAGGUGCUCAUGUUGCAAAA
Manis javanica (Malayan pangolin) is the source of this 4711-nucleotide non-coding RNA. The record is from RefSeq and is a predicted model, not a curated record. Lineage: Eukaryota; Metazoa; Chordata; Mammalia; Pholidota; Manidae.